CCCUAGAUCUUUAAAAGCCACUAUUUUACAGAGGUUUUUAUUGCUGCAACACGGUAGUUUGUUUGGUGUGUUUUGCUGUUCUUGCCUCCUGAUGCAUUAAUUCAGUGUGUUUUCCAGCAGAUCAUUGAGAGAUCUCAGGUCUAGAAGACGACAGCUCAAGUGUACUGCUUGCUGACUGCUGUUUUAUUAUGUCUGUCCGGAUGCUUGAGCACAACAGAUGCUACUCGAAGUAAAGCCUCAGCAAAGCCAGGAGAGUGUCCACCCGAAAAACCUGUGGGAGGAUCAUGUGCCAGGUCCUGUACUGGUGACUCUGACUGUCCAGAC
Long non-coding RNA from Sinocyclocheilus anshuiensis, 324 nucleotides. RefSeq lists it as uncharacterized. The transcript is spliced from 2 exons. Lineage: Eukaryota; Metazoa; Chordata; Actinopteri; Cypriniformes; Cyprinidae. The record is from RefSeq and is a predicted model, not a curated record.